Molecule: transfer RNA, 73 nt
Filed under: Marmota monax (woodchuck)
Lineage: Eukaryota; Metazoa; Chordata; Mammalia; Rodentia; Sciuridae
Description: tRNA.Ala
Source: RNAcentral
UUAUGGCUGGCUCAGUGGUAGAGUACUUGCCUAGCAUGUGCAAGGGCCUGGGUUCAAUCCCUAGUACCACAAA